CCAGACUCCUACGGGAGGCAGCAGUGGGGAAUAUUGCACAAUGGGGGGAACCCUGAUGCAGCGACGCCGCGUGAGUGAAGAAGUAUUUCGGUACGUAAAGCUCUGUCAGCAGGGAAGAAGAAAGGCGGUACCUGACCAAGAAGCCCCGGCUAACUACGUGCCAGCAGCCGCGGUAAUACGUAGGGGGCAAGCGUUAUCCGGAUUUACUGGGUGUAAAGGGAGCGUAGACGGCAAUGCAAGUCUGGAGUGAAAGGCGGGGGCCCAACCCCCGGACUGCUCUGGAAACUGUAUAGCUGGAGUGCAGGAGAGGUAAGUGGAAUUCCUAGUGUAGCGGUGAAAUGCGUAGAUAUUAGGAGGAACACCAGUGGCGAAGGCGGCUUACUGGACUGUAACUGACGUUGAGGCUCGAAAGCGUGGGGAGCAAACAGGAUUAGAUACCCGCGUACG
This 447-nucleotide ribosomal RNA is filed under the name uncultured bacterium. Its description in RNAcentral is "bacterial SSU rRNA". It matches the Rfam family "Bacterial small subunit ribosomal RNA", at positions 331 to 793 of the family's 1533-position model. The record is from RNAcentral.